GGAUUGCCUCAGUAACGGCGAGUGAAGCGGCAACAGCUCAAAUUUGAAAUCUGGCCCUUUCAGGGUCCGAGUUGUAAUUUGUAGAGGGUGCUUUGGCGUUGGUUGUGGUCUAAGUUCCUUGGAACAGGACGUCACAGAGGGUGAGAAUCCCGUACGUGGCCGCCAGCCUUCGCCGUGUAAAGCCCCUUCGACGAGUCGAGUUGUUUGGGAAUGCAGCUCUAAAUGGGAGAUAAAUUUCUUCUAAAGCUAAAUACUGGCCAGAGACCGAUAGCGCACAAGUAGAGUGAUCGAAAGAUGAAAAGCACUUUGGAAAGAGAGUCAAAAAGCACGUGAAAUUGUUGAAAGGGAAGCGCUUGCAGCCAGACGUGCCCGCAGUUGCUCACCCAGGCUCUCGCCUGGGGCACUCUUCUGCGGGCAGGCCAGCAUCAGUUCGGGCGGUUGGAUAAAGGUCACUUUCACGUAACUGGCCCUCGGGCUUGUCCUUAUAGAGGUGACGCAACACGGCCAGCCCGGACUGAGGACCGCGCAUCAGCUAGGAUGCUGGCGUAAUGGCUGUAAGCGGCCCGUCUUGAAACACGGACCAAGGAGUCUAACAUCUAUGCGAGUGUUUGGGUGUCAAGCCCGGGCGCGCAAUGAAAGUGAACGGAGGUGGGAACCCUUUGGGUGCACCAUCGACCGAUCCUGAAGUCUUCGGAUGGAUUUGAGUAAGAGCAUAGCUGUUGGGACCCGAAAGAUGGUGAACUAUACUUGGAUAGGGUGAAGCCAGGGGAAACCCUGGUGGAGGCUCGCAGCGGUUCUGACGUGCAAAUCGAUCGUCAAAUCUGGGUAUAGGGGCGAAAGACUAAUCGAACCAUCUAGUAGCUGGUUCCUGCCGA
RNAcentral lists this ribosomal RNA (875 nucleotides) under Cycasicola sp. MC-2023a. Its description in RNAcentral is "partial large subunit ribosomal RNA". It matches the Rfam family "Eukaryotic large subunit ribosomal RNA", at positions 72 to 964 of the family's 3401-position model. Lineage: Eukaryota; Fungi; Ascomycota; Dothideomycetes; Pleosporales; Thyridariaceae. The record is from RNAcentral.